GAUGAACGCUAGCGGCAGGCCUAAUACAUGCAAGUCGGACGGGAUUCAGGAGCUUGCUUCUGAUGAGAGUGGCGCACGGGUGCGUAACACGUAUGUAACCUACCUUUAUCAGGGGGAUAGCCUCUCGAAAGAGAGAUUAAGCCCGCAUAAAAUCACAGCACAGCAUUGUGUAAUGAUCAAAUAUUUAUAGGAUAAAGAUGGGCAUGCGGAACAUUAGCUAGAUGGCGGGGUAACGGCCCACCAUGGCGACGAUGUUUAGGGGAUCUGAGAGGAUGGCCCCCCACACUGGUACUGAGACACGGACCAGACUCCUACGGGAGGCAGCAGUAAGGAAUAUUGGUCAAUGGGCGGAAGCCUGAACCAGCCAUGCCGCGUGCAGGAAGACGGCCCUACGGGUUGUAAACUGCUUUUAUACGGGAAUAAACCCAGAUACGUGUAUCUGGCUGAAUGUACUGUAGGAAUAAGGAUCGGCUAACUCCGUG
RNAcentral lists this ribosomal RNA (482 nucleotides) under uncultured bacterium. Its description in RNAcentral is "partial 16S ribosomal RNA". It matches the Rfam family "Bacterial small subunit ribosomal RNA", at positions 28 to 507 of the family's 1533-position model. The record is from RNAcentral.